Molecule: ribosomal RNA, 254 nt
Filed under: uncultured bacterium
Lineage: Bacteria
Description: partial 16S ribosomal RNA
Rfam family: Bacterial small subunit ribosomal RNA
Source: RNAcentral
UACGUAGGGUGCGAGCGUUGUCCGGAAUUAUUGGGCGUAAAGAGCUCGUAGGCGGUGUGUCGCGUCGGCCGUGAAAACCUGGGGCUCAACUCUGGGCGUGCGGUCGAUACGGGCAUCACUUGAGUUCGGCAGGGGAGACUGGAAUUCCUGGUGUAGCGGUGAAAUGCGCAGAUAUCAGGAGGAACACCGGUGGCGAAGGCGGGUCUCUGGGCCGAUACUGACGCUGAGGAGCGAAAGCGUGGGGAGCAAACAGG